AGCAUAGCGGAUCGGUGCCGGCGGCAACCAGCCUCCCCGCCGGCGGCCACCUUCCCCGUCAACCCGCCGCCCCACUGCUGCUCCCUCGCCCUGUCCCUCCUUGUCUGGGACAACGAGGCCGCCGCCGCGCCCUGACCCCGCGCAGCUCUCUGGUGUUUGUCCUGGCCUCUCCUCUAUCCGCGCGUCAGAGGGGGUGUGCUAGAUCCGGUCCAACCAAAGAGAGCGCCAGGGGUAUUUUCGGCAUACCGCAAAGUUCAAGAAGAGAAGGGAAGGUCGGCUUCAUCUUCCACCUUUUCUCCCUUUUCCCUCUCGCCCUUUCCGCACUGCAACCGCCAAAUUCUCUUCCGAGCCGAGCUGGCCCGCGGCGCAGCACAUGGAGGUGAUUCGCUCUAUCUUCUCUUCCUCCAGCUGCCAGGAAGCUGGAUUCUCUGUGAGCUCUUGCCCACUGAUUGGGCGCGUGACGGCAGCCUAAUUGGGUUCUUGAUUCUUCCGAGCGUCGUAGUAGCGCUCAAUUUCGACGGAGCAUCCCAGGUCCGGCUGCCGUUUGACUCCUGCGGUUGCAGGGGCAGCCGGCUAUUCUCCUUCCUACCUUCUUGGGCUAUCCAUUCCUGGAUUGUUUUGGAUAGUUUGGAUUGGGAGGAGAGGAGAUGAUGCGACGCUGCGUCUCGGAGCUAGCCCACCGGCGGCGGCCGGAUAACGUGGUUGAUGCUAUGAAGCUAGGCUUCCAAUAUUUGGCCAAUGUUUCCUCUUUAACAAGAGCUAUUGAGAGUCAUAGGUGCUCAAAUGCACACGCAACUUCCUGCGUUACUGAUCGAGAUAUUGUGUCAAGAGAAACAGCAUCAUCAGAAAUGCUUGUUGAUUCAUUCGGGAGGUUUCACAAUUACUUGAGGAUCUCCUUGACUGAGCGCUGUAAUCUGAGGUGCCAAUACUGUAUGCCUGCUGAAGGAGUUGAACUAACACCGAGGUCGGAGCUUCUAUCACAUGAUGAGAUAAUUCGAAUUGCUGACCUUUUUGUUACCUCUGGUGUGGAUAAGAUUCGAUUAACUGGUGGAGAGCCUACCAUAAGAAAAGAUAUUGAAGACAUUUGCUUACAUCUUUCGGGUUUGAAGGGGCUAAAAACACUAGCAAUGACUACAAAUGGAAUUGUUCUUUCUAAGAAACUCCCCAAAUUGAAAGAAUGUGGCCUCAAUGCCUUAAAUAUAAGUUUAGAUACACUAGUACCUGCAAAGUUUGAGUUCAUGACAAGGCGCAAAGGGCACUCAAAGGUCAUGGAAUCAAUAGAUGCUGCUGUAGAACUUGGAUAUAACCCUGUGAAGGUCAAUUGUGUUAUCAUGCGUGGCAUGAAUGAUGAUGAGAUCUGUAAUUUUGUUGAAUUGACGAGACACAAGCCCAUCAAUGUGAGAUUUAUUGAGUUUAUGCCAUUUGAUGGUAAUGUUUGGAAUGUGAAGAAGCUAGUUCCUUUUGCAGAGAUGUUGGACAAAGUGCGGCAAAGUUAUAAUGGUGUAGAGAGACUUCAAGAUCACCCAACAGACACUGCAAAGAAUUUCAGGAUUGAUGGACAUGUCGGGACAAUUUCAUUUAUUACAUCAAUGACAGAGCAUUUUUGUGCUGGCUGCAAUAGACUACGGUUGUUGGCUGAUGGAAACCUCAAGGUGUGCUUAUUUGGCCCCUCAGAGGUGAGUUUAAGAGAGCCCAUCCGUGUUGGUGUUGAUGAUGCUGGACUGAAGGAAAUAAUUGGUGCUGCGGUAUGUUGGCAAACUUGCUAGGUUAAAAGGAAGAAAGCUAAACAUGCUGGGAUGUUUGAUAUUGCCAAGACAGUGAAUAGACCAAUGAUACAUAUAGGUGGUUAAGAUCUCCUGAAAUGAGACUCAAAAUGAAUUGUCAACUCAACUGCUGGUCGCUUUUACCGACAGAACUACACAAAUAAGUUCUUCGACUGAAUGGAGCAACAGAAAAAGCUAGCCAGUUGUGAAAAUAUUGAUACCUAUACUUGAACAGCAUUUCAGAACCACACACUGAUCAGUGUUCAUGUAAUCAUGUCAUCACGUGCCGAAGUGCUUUGGUUAUGUGUUGUAUGCAAAAGUAUCAAGUUGUGUUACUACUCUGUUGUGACCUCUUACAGCUUCUGAAUUACCUACGCUGUCUUCCUGCUGGCUCAACAUUACCAGUGGCAAACACGAGUUCAAUCACAGGCAGCGUAAGAACGAUCAAAACAAGUAUACAGUAACACCAGUAUAUACAUCUUUAUAUAAUGCAUCCUCCACUACAAGGGCUGCUAGAAUGAUGACAUCCUUUGCUACUAAGUUAUGUUUGGCAUUAUUUCUAUCACUAUUCCCAUCGUGCCAUGAUAAGAAACUAGAUAUAUUUUGAUCAUUUUGAAGGUCCUUGAAGGAUUCCUUUUUUUUUUGUGAAAAUCCUUGAAGGAUUCCUAGUUAAUCACUUAAUCUGUGAUGGAUUCUUGACUGUUGUUAAACAGCUAAGAAAGUUGGAAUGCUAUAAAAGCUUAGUUCUUGAUGAA
Panicum virgatum (switchgrass) is the source of this 2518-nucleotide RNA transcript. It is a transcript of the gene named GTP 3',8-cyclase, mitochondrial-like, with no coding region annotated. The transcript is spliced from 7 exons. The record is from RefSeq and is a predicted model, not a curated record. Lineage: Eukaryota; Viridiplantae; Streptophyta; Magnoliopsida; Poales; Poaceae.